AGCUCUGUGAUGGGUGUGCCGUUUCCAGCGAACCCCGCCGGCAUGGGCGUGCAGACAGCUGCAAAGAAGGCUGCUGGGACCCAGAGCUGAGGAGGUGUGUGGGUAACAGUUUUAGUCUCAAGAGGAUCACCAGGCUUACCCGUGGGAGGACAGACCACAGGGUGACAGCUCACCGGGUUUACAGCAGCCCUCAGGCUCCCACAGAUGGAAGGCGAGGAUGUGGACAUUCGUAGGGGAGCAGAGACAGGCUGCGACGUUCACAGAAUCGGAGAAGCAAGACUCUCC
Molecule: long non-coding RNA, 285 nt
Organism: Cervus elaphus (red deer)
Lineage: Eukaryota; Metazoa; Chordata; Mammalia; Artiodactyla; Cervidae
Exons: 3
Source: RefSeq, a predicted model, not a curated record